RNAcentral lists this small RNA (245 nucleotides) under Pan troglodytes (chimpanzee). RNAcentral describes it as "processed transcript". The record is from RNAcentral. Lineage: Eukaryota; Metazoa; Chordata; Mammalia; Primates; Hominidae.
UUCAUGUGCUAGUCAUGGUCCAAUGAGUUUGGGAGAAUUGGAGUUGGAGCCAAAUUCUAAGCUGGUUCUUCCCACAACACUUCUGACAGCACAAGAAAAUGAUGUUAAUUUACCAGUAGCCGCUGAAGAUUUUUCCCAGUACCAACUAAAGCAAAAUCAGGAUGUUAAGCAAGUUGAACACAAACCAUCACAAAGUUACCUACGUGUUAGAAAUAAAUCUGAUAUUGCACCUUCACAGCAACAAG